CUCGGCAUUCCCUAGUACGGCGAGUGAACCGGGAAGAGCUCAAAUUUGAAAUCUGGCGUCCUCAGGGCGUCCGAGUUGUAAUCUAUAGAGGCGUUUUCCGUGCCGGACCGUGUCCAAGUUCCUUGGAACAGGAUAUCAAAGAGGGUGACAAUCCCGUACUUGACACGACGACCGGUGCUCUGUGAUACGUCUUCUACGAGUCGAGUUGUUUGGGAAUGCAGCUCAAAAUGGGUGGUGAGUUCCAUCUAAAGCUAAAUAUUGGCGAGAGACCGAUAGCGAACAAGUACCGUGAGGGAAAGAUGAAAAGCACUUUGGAAAGAGAGUUAAACAGUACGUGAAAUUGUUGAAAGGGAAACGAUUGAAGUCAGUCGUGACCGAGAGGCUCAGCCGGUUCUGCCGGUGUAUUCCCCUCGGUCGGGUCAACAUCAGUUUUGUCCGGUGGAUAAGGGCGGUAGGAAGGUGGCACCCUCGGGUGUGUUAUAGCCUGCCGUCGCAUACAUCGGGUGAGACUGAGGAACGCAGCUCGCCUUUAUGGCCGGGGUUCGCCCACGUCCGAGCUUAGGAUGUUGACAUAAUGGCUUUAAACGACCCGUCUUGAAACACSGGAACACAAA
RNAcentral lists this ribosomal RNA (614 nucleotides) under Papiliotrema laurentii. RNAcentral's name for it is "partial large subunit ribosomal RNA". It matches the Rfam family "Eukaryotic large subunit ribosomal RNA", at positions 69 to 664 of the family's 3401-position model. Lineage: Eukaryota; Fungi; Basidiomycota; Tremellomycetes; Tremellales; Rhynchogastremaceae. The record is from RNAcentral.